Molecule: ribosomal RNA, 492 nt
Filed under: uncultured bacterium
Lineage: Bacteria
Description: partial 16S ribosomal RNA
Rfam family: Bacterial small subunit ribosomal RNA
Source: RNAcentral
AGUGAACGCUGGCGGUAGGCCUAACACAUGCAAGUCGAACGGCAGCACAGUAAGAGCUUGCUCUUACGGGUGGCGAGUGGCGGACGGGUGAGGAAUACAUCGGAAUCUACUUUUUCGUGGGGGAUAACGUAGGGAAACUUACGCUAAUACCGCAUACGACCUACGGGUGAAAGCAGGGGAUCUUCGGACCUUGCGCGAUUGAAUGAGCCGAUGUCGGAUUAGCUAGUUGGCGGGGUAAAGGCCCACCAAGGCGACGAUCCGUAGCUGGUCUGAGAGGAUGAUCGGCGACACUGCAACUGAGACACGGUCCAGACUCCUUCAGGAGGCAGCAGUGGGGAAUAUUAGACAAUGGGCGCAAGCCUGAUCCAGCCAGACCGCGUGGGUGAAGAAGGCCUUCGGGUUGUAAAGCCCUUUUGUUGUGAAAGAAAAGCAGCAGGUUAAUACCGCGCUGUUCUGACGGUACCCAAAGAAUAAGCCCCGGCUAACUUCGUG